UUAACUGAAACCAAAGAGAGGUAUAUUAUUGUUAAUAAUAACACUGAAUUAAAGCAUUCCAGUUAAA
Molecule: transfer RNA, 67 nt
Filed under: Apicotermitinae sp.
Lineage: Eukaryota; Metazoa; Arthropoda; Insecta; Blattodea; Termitidae
Description: tRNA-Asn
Source: RNAcentral